RNAcentral lists this ribosomal RNA (315 nucleotides) under uncultured bacterium. RNAcentral describes it as "bacterial SSU rRNA". It matches the Rfam family "Bacterial small subunit ribosomal RNA", at positions 28 to 334 of the family's 1533-position model. The record is from RNAcentral.
GAUGAACGCUGGCGGCGUGCUUAACACAUGCAAGUCGAACGAAGCACUUUUGAGAGCUUGCUCUUGAUUGUGACUUAGUGGCGGACGGGUGAGUAACGCGUGAGUAACCUGCCUUACACAGGGGGAUAACAGUUAGAAAUGACUGCUAAUACCGCAUAAGCGCACGGUACCGCAUGGUACAGUGUGAAAAGUUUUUCGGUGUAAGAUGGACUCGCGUCUGAUUAGCUAGUUGGUGAGGUAACGGCCCACCAAGGCGACGAUCAGUAGCCGACUUGAGAGAGUGAUCGGCCACAUUGGGACUGAGGCACGGCCCAA